AGAUUCCCAAAUUGUGUCUGACUAUGUUCGUUACUUUCUUCAUCAGCACACAAUACAGUUAGGUCAGCCCGCAACUGUCAAAGUUGCUGCUAAUCUGGUCAGGCUGCUAUCUUAUAACAAUAAGAACAUGCUAGAAACUGGCCUAAUUGUUGGUGGAUGGGACAAAUAUGAAGGUGGUAAAAUUUAUGGAGUUCCUCUCGGUGGAACAAUAAUAGAGCAGCCUUUUGCUAUUGGAGGAUCUGGCUCCAGUUACUUGUAUGGAUUCUUUGAUCAAGCAUGGAAAGAAGGAAUGACCAAGGAUGAAGCUGAGCAAUUAGUAGUAAAGGCAGUUUCCCUGGCCAUGGCAAGAGAUGGUGCUAGUGGUGGUGUUGUUCGCACGGUCAUUAUAAAUUCGGAGGGAG
RNAcentral lists this unclassified non-coding RNA (401 nucleotides) under Hevea brasiliensis (rubber tree). Lineage: Eukaryota; Viridiplantae; Streptophyta; Magnoliopsida; Malpighiales; Euphorbiaceae. The record is from RNAcentral.